RNAcentral lists this ribosomal RNA (492 nucleotides) under uncultured bacterium. Its description in RNAcentral is "partial 16S ribosomal RNA". It matches the Rfam family "Bacterial small subunit ribosomal RNA", at positions 29 to 507 of the family's 1533-position model. The record is from RNAcentral.
AGUGAACGCUGGCGGUAGGCCUAACACAUGCAAGUCGAACGGCAGCACAGUAAGAGCUUGCUCUUACGGGUGGCGAGUGGCGGACGGGUGAGGAAUACAUCGGAAUCUACUUUUUCGUGGGGGAUAACGUAGGGAAACUUACGCUAAUACCGCAUACGACCUACGGGUGAAAGCAGGAGAUAUUCGGAGCUUGGGCGAUAGAAUGAGCCGAUGUCGGAUUAGCUAGUUGGCUGGGUAAAGGCCCACCAAGGCGACGAUCCGUAGCUGGUCUGAGAGGAUGAUCAGCCACACUGGAACUGAGACACGGUCCAGACUCCUACGGGAGGCAGCAGUGGGGAAUAUUGCACAAUGGGCGCAAGCCUGACGCAGCAACGCCGCGUGGGUGAAGAAGGCCUUCGGGUCGUAAAGCCCUUUUAUUGGGGAAGAACAGAUGUAGGUUUAUCCGUCGAUGUCCUGACGGUACCUAAAGAAUAAGCACCGGCUAACUUCGUG